AUGCCUAGUACGGCGAGUGAAGCGGCAACAGCUCAAAUUUGAAAGCUGGCUCCGGCCCGCAUUGUAAUUUGCAGAGGAUGCUUUUGGCGAGGUGCCUUCCGAGUUCCCUGGAACGGGACGCCAUAGAGGGUGAGAGCCCCGUAUGGAUGGACACCAAACCUGUGUAAAGCUCCUUCAACGAGUCGAGUAGUUUGGGAAUGCUGCUCUAAAUGGGAGGUAAAUCUCUUCUAAAGCUAAAUACCGGCCAGAGACCGAUAGCGCACAAGUAGAGUGAUCGAAAGAUGAAAAGCACCUUGAAAAGGGGGUUAAACAGUACGUGAAAUUGUUGAAAGGGAAGCGCUUGUGACCAGACUUGCGCCGGGCAGCUCAUCAGGGGUUCUCCCCUGUGCACUCUGCCCGGCUCAGGCCAGCAUCGGUUCUCGUGGGAGGAUAAGAACAGUGGGAACGUGGCCCCCUCUCGGGGGGGUGUUAUAGCCCAUUGUACGAUACUCUCGUGGGGACCGAGGUUCGCGCUCCGCAAGGAUGCUGGCGUAAUGGUCAUCAGCGACCCGUCUUAACAC
RNAcentral lists this ribosomal RNA (560 nucleotides) under Cytospora hoffmannii. RNAcentral's name for it is "partial 28S ribosomal RNA". It matches the Rfam family "Eukaryotic large subunit ribosomal RNA", at positions 73 to 660 of the family's 3401-position model. The record is from RNAcentral. Lineage: Eukaryota; Fungi; Ascomycota; Sordariomycetes; Diaporthales; Cytosporaceae.